This 513-nucleotide ribosomal RNA is filed under the name uncultured bacterium. RNAcentral's name for it is "partial 16S ribosomal RNA". It matches the Rfam family "Bacterial small subunit ribosomal RNA", at positions 28 to 523 of the family's 1533-position model. The record is from RNAcentral.
GACGAACGCUGGCGGCGUGCCUAAUACAUGCAAGUAGAACGCUGAAGAGAGGAGCUUGCUCUUCUUGGAUGAGUUGCGAACGGGUGAGUAACGCGUAGGUAACCUGCCUUGUAGCGGGGGAUAACUAUUGGAAACGCUAGCUAAUACCGCAUAACAAUGGAUGACUCAUGUCAUUUAUUCGAAAGGGGCAAAUGCUCCACUACAAGAUGGACCUGGGUUGUAUUAGCUAGUAGGUGAGGUAACGGCUCACCUAGGCGACGAUACAUAGCCGACCUGAGAGGGUGAUCGGCCACACUGGGACUGAGACACGGCCCAGACUCCUACGGGAGGCAGCAGUAGGGAAUCUUCGGCAAUGGGGGCAACCCUGACCGAGCAACGCCGCGUGAGUGAAGAAGGUUUUCGGAUCGUAAAGCUCUGUUGUAAGUCAAGAACGAGUGUGAGAGUGGAAAGUUCACACUGUGACGGUAGCUUACCAGAAAGGGACGGCUAACUACGUGCCAGCAGCCGCAGUAA